AAAAUAUUAGGAAUUGCCAAUUUUCGCUACUUUUUAACUUUUGCCCCCCUGUAGCAAAAAAACUACUCGACGGGUCAUGCUGAAAUUUGGCAUGAUGAUUCUUCAAGAUUCAAAGGCCAUACCUUUUGGUGUUGGAUGUUUCAAAACUUAUUAUUAACGGAGGUAUGACGAUUUAAAGAUUGUGAAACGCAAACGGACUUCCUUUGUUUUCUAGACACUUAUCGAGUUUUUCUUGUCUGAAGAAAAAAAGCAAAACGACGGACAGACUCGAAAUUUGACGAGAGGAAUGUAGAUGAGUUGAAAAGUGAAUAUUUUGGCCUCUGACAUUGCUAAAUUCAGUGAAAGUUCAUUUUUUAGAGUUCUGAAGUACGGAUUUUUUUAACAACUGGCAUCACUGGAUAUAGUCAGCUGUUUCUUAUUAUUGUUGGCGCGCUCUUUAUGUCAAACCAAAAUAUAAGCACGUAACCUUGUAAGUGCUUCCACCGUUUGUUCAUUGUUUUGUUUGUUUAUGUAUCAAGUUCUUUUGAUUUUCCGGAUUGUGAUGAUAAAAGGUAUGUUAUCAUUAUUUGCUAGUUUCUGAAGUUCAAGACAUGCCAUCGCAGCGAAACCGAUCUGCACGAAGCAUGUGGAAACAUAAAAGGCUCAAUAUUUUAUGACUGCCCACUUCAAGAUCUGUGAGCGGUCCCAUCUGUGAACAUUACGGUCUGUAAUAUCAGUUGACAGAUUCAGUUGCAUGAGAGGCAGCCUACUUAGGGAAUGUUGAAGGAUGCCGUUUGCUGAAUGAACAUGCAUCUACUUUUGAUCACUAAGGUUUUGGAUUCAAAAGCUUUCGGUUUACUCAUUCCCUUCUUCGAUGUGACUGAGAAUUGCUGCAACGCCAUAGGGGCUUAUGCUACAAGUUAAUUUUACAGGGUUUGCUGGAUCGUCAAGUUCAUUCUGGUUUCGAGAAAUGUGCCUUGAUCUUGUUCAUGUUUUCGUUUACGCUACAAAAUCUUCAUCAAUUCUUCAAUUCUUUACUUCAUUUCUCAGUGCAAGGUAUGUCCUAAGGUUGAUCAUUAAUCUGCUUUUUCCUCAAACUUCCACAAUUGAUUUUUUCAAAAAAUGCCAAACUAAAAAAAAACUAAAAAAAAAAAAAACCAGUAAGUGAUGAACUUGCGUUCAACCAAAGAUUUUCAAGUUGCAGAAACUGUUUGUAGUCCGCGUCAUUUUUUGUAGCCCGUACACUGUCCACACAGGUAUAGGGAAAAUUCACUUGUUACAAAUAUAUCAGUAUGCCUUGGAACACUUUUUUCGAAUUUCUAUCCAUAUCCUUAAAUACUGUUCUCCAAAACUCAUUAUUGAAUGUCUUUGUGAAAAAAGACAGUGAGGAGUAAAGAAAUCUUGAUAGUUGAGAUUCUAGAAUCAUCAACUACGAAAUUUCAACCAUUUGCUUUGAAUAUAAUUUUAGUAACUACUAUUAUAAUAAUAGUAACUCAAUAUUCAUACAACUUGGUCAACGAUUAACAAACUAAAAACGUAAUUCAAUAUCCGAAGAAGAAAGCGUUUUAAUACUAUAAGGUUAAAAAUGCCAAAGUUGCAGUUUUUUUUUCUCAGUCACUCACCAGCAUACUCUUUAAAUACCAAAUAAUAUUUAAAUAAAAAGGCUUUCUAAAUGCUUCCAUGCCUAAAGCUGAUUAUCACUGACUGUCCCAAAUGAUUCUCAGUAGAAAGAGCAAAAAGAGCUUGCUUUGCCUCACUGAAAUUGUUUCAGAUCUUUAUCUCCCUGAUUUUUUUUAUCUCCUUUCAUACACAUGACCUGUGUAUUUUCUUCCCUAAUUUCAAUUUUUAUGUUUGUUUCAGAUGUGCCUGUGAUUAAUUUCAUCCUGGAAUAGCUUUAAUUAAAAAAAGAAAAUGACUGGUGGCUCUUCAUUAUUUUUUAAUUAACAUGGAUUUCCGAUUCUAAUCUCCUCUGUCAAUUUUUGAGAUUCCUUUAAUACAAAAAAUGUAAUGAAAAAUUGUUUUAUUUUUCAGUUUAUUUUAGUUUUUUAUUACCACUCUCUGAAUUAUACUUGCCAAUCAUUAUUGCUCUGAAUGAUUUUAUGCCAGAAGUGCUCAAUUUAGACGCCAACAUUAGUUGGAACAUGCUCAAUUGCUAUUGGCAAAUACUAAUUCCUCUAAUGCGACAAUUAAACCAAAUGAACACGGCCAAACAACUGCAAGCAACUAUCACCACAUCAGAGCCGUUCUCUUUGCCUAUCAGGAUAUUGAAGGAAAACUGCUCAAAUUUACUCGGUGAAACAGACAUUGCCUAGCAUCAUUUGAAAGUCAACAGUAAUGUUGAACCUCUAUAAAUGUAAAACUCUACUUUAAAAAUAUCAAAAAACUACAUUAUAUUUUAUAAAUUAGA
Molecule: long non-coding RNA, 2386 nt
Filed under: Bemisia tabaci
Lineage: Eukaryota; Metazoa; Arthropoda; Insecta; Hemiptera; Aleyrodidae
Description: lncRNA ENSASIAIIG007369
Source: RNAcentral